This 440-nucleotide ribosomal RNA is filed under the name uncultured bacterium. RNAcentral describes it as "partial 16S ribosomal RNA". It matches the Rfam family "Bacterial small subunit ribosomal RNA", at positions 338 to 795 of the family's 1533-position model. The record is from RNAcentral.
CCUACGGGUGGCAGCAGUGGGGGAUAUUGCACAAUGGGGGAAACCCUGAUGCAGCGACGCCGCGUGAGUGAAGAAGUAUUUCGGUAUUUAAAGCUCUUUCUGUAUGGAAGAAAAUUACAGUACCUGACCAAGAAGCCCCGGCUAACUACGUGCCAGCAGCCGCGGUAAUACGUAGGGGGCAAGCGUUAUCCGGAUUUACUGGGUGUAAAGGGAGCGUAGACGGUUAUGUAAGUCUGGAGUGAAAGGCCGGGGCCCCACCCUGGGACUGCUUUGGAAACUGUGUAACGGGAGUACAGGAGGGGCAGGCGGAAUUCCUGGUGUAGCGGUGAAAGGCGUAGAUAUCAGGAGGAACACCGGCGGCGAAGGCGGCCUGCUGGACUGAAACUGACGUUGAGGCUCGAAAGCGUGGGGAGCAAACAGGAGUAGAUACCCUUGUAGUC